This 253-nucleotide ribosomal RNA is filed under the name uncultured bacterium. RNAcentral's name for it is "partial 16S ribosomal RNA". It matches the Rfam family "Bacterial small subunit ribosomal RNA", at positions 524 to 776 of the family's 1533-position model. The record is from RNAcentral.
UACGUAGGGGGCAAGCGUUAUCCGGAAUUACUGGGUGUAAAGGGAGCGUAGACGGUGAUGCAAGUCUGGAGUGAAAGGCGGGGGCCCAACCCCCGGACUGCUCUGGAAACUGUAUGACUGGAGUGCAGGAGAGGUAAGCGGAAUUCCUAGUGUAGCGGUGAAAUGCGUAGAUAUUAGGAGGAACACCAGUGGCGAAGGCGGCUUACUGGACUGUAACUGGCGUUGAGGCUCGAAAGCGUGGGGAGCAAACAGG